AUUGAACGCUGGCGGCAGGCCUAACACAUGCAAGUCGAGCGGUUGAAGGGAGCUUGCUCCCUGAUUCAGCGGCGGACGGGUGAGUAAUGCCUAGGAAUCUGCCUAUUAGUGGGGGACUACAUUCCGAAAGGAAUGCUAAUACCGCAUACGUCCUACGGGAGAAAGCAGGGGAUCUUCGGACCUUGCGCUAAUAGAUGAGCCUAAGUCGGAUUAGCUAGUUGGUGGGGUAAAGGCCUACCAAGGCGACGAUCUGUAGCGGGUCUGAGAGGAUGAUCCGCCACACUGGGACGGAAACACGGCCCAGACUCCUACGGGAGGCAGCAGUGGGGAAUAUUGGACAAUGGGGGGAACCCUGAUCCAGCCAUGCCGCGUGUGUGAAGAAGGCCUUAUGGUUGUAAAGCACUUUAAGCGAGGAGGAGGCUACUGAGACUAAUACUCUUGGAUAGUGGACGUUACUCGCAGAAUAAGCACCGGCUAACUCUGUGCCAGCCGCCGCCGUAA
RNAcentral lists this ribosomal RNA (501 nucleotides) under uncultured bacterium. RNAcentral's name for it is "partial 16S ribosomal RNA". It matches the Rfam family "Bacterial small subunit ribosomal RNA", at positions 30 to 523 of the family's 1533-position model. The record is from RNAcentral.